This is a long non-coding RNA of Cercocebus atys (sooty mangabey), 349 nucleotides long. RefSeq lists it as uncharacterized. The transcript has 2 exons. NCBI's taxonomy places the organism in Eukaryota, Metazoa, Chordata, Mammalia, Primates, Cercopithecidae. The record is from RefSeq and is a predicted model, not a curated record.
UGCAGCCAGCAGGACCUGGCCAUGCUGCCCUGGGUACAGGAGUUCAACAAGUUCGACCUCUACACCAAGUGCCCAGACCUGCCGGACGUGGACAAGCUGCGGCCCUACUACCAGGGGCUCAUUGACAAGUACUGCCCUAAAAAAAAAAGCUGGUGACCCUCCUGCCACCCAAGGUGCUGCUGGACCCAGGCCUGGCCCUAAAAAAAAAAGGAGAGAUCUGGCCCUGGGCAGACAGCCGCCAUCAGGGUUCACCUUGGUGGGGGACCCCACUCACCCCCUUAGGGUCGCCACCCCUCGUGGCAACUUGUGCCUGGCGGCAAUAAAAAAAAAAAAGGACAUUGUGCUUCUG